AACGAACGCUGGCGGCAGGCCUAACACAUGCAAGUCGAGCGGACCCUUCGGGGUUAGCGGCGGACGGGGGAGUAACGCGGGGGAAUAUGCCCUUCUCUACGGAAUAGUCCGGGGAAACUGGGGGUAAUACCGGAUACGCCCUUGGGGGGAAAGAUUUAUCGGGGAAGGAUUAGCCCGCGUUGGAUUAGGUAGUUGGUGGGGUAAUGGCCUCCCAAGCCGACGAUGCGUAGCUGGUUUGAGAGGAUGAUCAGCCACACUGGGACUGAGACACGGCCCAGACUCCUACGGGAGGCAGCAGUGGGGAAUCUUAGACAAUGGGGGCAACCCUGAUCUAGCCAUGCCGCGUGAGUGAUGAAGGCCUUAGGGUUGUAAAGCUCUUUCAGCUGGGAAGAUAAUGACGGUACCAGCAGAAGAAGCCCCGGCUAACUCCGUG
RNAcentral lists this ribosomal RNA (433 nucleotides) under uncultured bacterium. RNAcentral's name for it is "partial 16S ribosomal RNA". It matches the Rfam family "Bacterial small subunit ribosomal RNA", at positions 29 to 507 of the family's 1533-position model. The record is from RNAcentral.